This 253-nucleotide ribosomal RNA is filed under the name uncultured bacterium. RNAcentral's name for it is "partial 16S ribosomal RNA". It matches the Rfam family "Bacterial small subunit ribosomal RNA", at positions 524 to 776 of the family's 1533-position model. The record is from RNAcentral.
UACGUAGGGGGCAAGCGUUGUCCGGAAUUAUUGGGCGUAAAGCGCGUGUAGGCGGUCCGGUAAGUCGGUUGUGAAAGUCCAGGGCUCAACCCUGGGAUGCCGAUCGAUACUGCCGGACUAGAGUCCGGAAGAGGCGAGUGGAAUUCCCGGUGUAGCGGUGAAAUGCGCAGAUAUCGGGAGGAACACCAAUGGCGAAGGCAGCUCGCUGGGACGGUACUGACGCUAAGGCGCGAAAGCUAGGGGAGCGAACAGG